RNAcentral lists this ribosomal RNA (250 nucleotides) under uncultured bacterium. RNAcentral's name for it is "partial 16S ribosomal RNA". It matches the Rfam family "Bacterial small subunit ribosomal RNA", at positions 515 to 774 of the family's 1533-position model. The record is from RNAcentral.
GCGCGGUAAUACCUUAGUGACGAGCAUUAUUCGUAAUAAUUGGGUGUAAAGGAUGCGUAGAGACUCAACAAGUUUAUUUACUAGAUACAUAAAGUUGAAUUAUAAACUAUAGUUGUAGUUGAGUAUGUGUACAGAGUUUGGAUGUAUCUAAAUAGUGAUAGAAUACUGAAAUUUAGCUAUUUUUGCCAAUAUUUAAUUAUUUACUCUUACACAUUCUGACCUUGAGGCAUUAAAGUAAGGGAAAUAAACA